Molecule: long non-coding RNA, 379 nt
Filed under: Bos taurus (domestic cattle)
Lineage: Eukaryota; Metazoa; Chordata; Mammalia; Artiodactyla; Bovidae
Description: long non-coding RNA NONBTAT025195
Source: RNAcentral
GUAGCUUGCUGAGCACCUACACAGAUUCGCAGUCACACGUUCCUAUAAAUCAGUUCAGCCGUGACCAGCUUCUUCAGGAAAGGAGUUUUCAACAUGUGCAACGUGUCGUGCUUUGUGACCUUGUGGUGACAUAAUGGACAGUAUAUGAUAGUAACAUGUAAGCUUUUUAAGGAAUUCUCAGAAUUCUCAGAUGCCCUAUGGGCUUCACAAAAAAUGUUGAUUAGCCAUUUGAUUUAAUCUGUAUGGGGUUAUACCCUCUCAUAGUAAGCUUUUUUCCUUUGCUGGAAAACCCUUGGAGCCUUAAAUUUUUAGUGGCACUUCUCCUGUCAAGGUUAAUAAUCGAAUUAUGACAACUGAAAUUCACUCAGCUUUUGCAGUA